This 310-nucleotide long non-coding RNA is filed under the name Cavia porcellus (domestic guinea pig). RNAcentral describes it as "lncRNA (ENSCPOG00000036081.1)". Lineage: Eukaryota; Metazoa; Chordata; Mammalia; Rodentia; Caviidae. The record is from RNAcentral.
GGAAGGUUGGGCCUGAAGCCCGCUUCGCCAUCCAGGUGUAGAAGUAGUUCCGCGCUCCGCGUUUUGCAGACCGCCGCGGUGUCGGAGGCGAGGCGAGGAAGGGAGCUGGAAUAACAAAGGUUGGAUGACAACUAGACACAGAUGCUCUGCUCAGAACUCUCCCAGGUCACUAUGGAGUUCUGCUGCACUUGUCACCUUCACACUGAAGCCUAGGGAGCCAGAGACACUCCUGGGAGAUGUGGUGGAGCCAGCUCACACUGUAGGACCCCAGCCUCCUACAAGUGACUUCAGUUCAGCUCCUAUUGCCUGA